CGGGAUGCUGACGAGUGGCGAACGGGUGAGUAAUACAUCGGAACGUGCCCAGUAAUGGGGGAUAGCCCGGCGAAAGCCGGAUUAAUACCGCAUACGCCCUGAGGGGGAAAGUGGGGGACCGCAAGGCCUCACGUUAUUGGAGCGGCCGAUGGCUGAUUAGCUAGUUGGUAGGGUAAAGGCCUACCAAGGCGACGAUCAGUAGCUGGUCUGAGAGGACGAUCAGCCACACUGGGACUGAGACACGGCCCAGACUCCUACGGGAGGCAGCAGUGGGGAAUUUUGGACAAUGGGGGCAACCCUGAUCCAGCAAUGCCGCGUGUGCGAAGAAGGCCUUCGGGUUGUAAAGCACUUUUGUCCGGGAAGAAAUCCCUUGGGAUAAUACCUCAGGGGGAUGACGGUACUGGAAGAAUAAGCACCGGCUAACUACGUGCCAGCAGCCGCGGUAAUACGUAGGGUGCAAGCGUUAAUCGGAAUUACUGGGCGUAAAGCGUGCGCAGGCGGUUGUGUAAGACAGGUGUGAAAUCCCCGGGCUUAACCUGGGAAUUGCAUUUGUGACUGCACGGCUAGAGUGCGUCAGAGGGGGGUGGAAUUCCACGUGUAGCAGUGAAAUGCGUAGAUAUGUGGAGGAACACCAAUGGCGAAGGCAGCCCCCUGGGAUGACACUGACGCUCAUGCACGAAAGCGUGGGGAGCAAACAGGAUUAGAUACCCUGGUAGUCCACGCCCUAAACGAUGUCAACUAGUUGUUGGGGAUUUAUUUCCUUGGUAACGUAGCUAACGCGUGAAGUUGACCGCCUGGGGAGUACGGUCGCAAGAUUAAAACUCAAAGGAAUUGACGGGGACCCGCACAAGCGGUGGAUGAUGUGGAUUAAUUCGAUGCAACGCGAAAAACCUUACCUACCCUUGACAUGGCAGGAACUUUCCAGAGAUGGAUUGGUGCUCGAAAGAGAACCUGCACACAGGUGCUGCAUGGCUGUCGUCAGCUCGUGUC
Molecule: ribosomal RNA, 990 nt
Filed under: bacterium
Lineage: Bacteria
Description: bacterial SSU rRNA
Rfam family: Bacterial small subunit ribosomal RNA
Source: RNAcentral